ACAUGGGUUGGAUUUAUGGCAGGCCUAUCCUCCUGGGCCUCUCAUAGUAUCCCCUGCCAGAGCAAACUGUGUCCCCAACCAUUGCCUGGCCUCUGUCUGCAGGCUACUGGGACUGAGGAGGAUUUCACAGAG
Perognathus longimembris pacificus (Pacific pocket mouse) is the source of this 132-nucleotide small nucleolar RNA. RefSeq annotates it as small nucleolar RNA SNORA42/SNORA80 family. The transcript has a single exon. NCBI's taxonomy places the organism in Eukaryota, Metazoa, Chordata, Mammalia, Rodentia, Heteromyidae. The record is from RefSeq and is a predicted model, not a curated record.